This is a long non-coding RNA of Clupea harengus (Atlantic herring), 316 nucleotides long. Lineage: Eukaryota; Metazoa; Chordata; Actinopteri; Clupeiformes; Clupeidae. The record is from Ensembl.
UGACCCCCAGGUGGUGGAGCCCACCCCCUCACUUUUCCUUGCUGUGUGCAUAACGGUUGCCCUAUUUUGGAGUGCAGUGCUUACUGGUUUUAUGCAUGUGUGGUGUGUGUCUUCUGGGCCUCUCCUGUCCCCCUCUUGGAAAGUCCUGCUCGCUGCGGAAUGAGCCCACGUUUGAUGUCAGCUAUAAGAUAUUCUGUGAGAGGAUCAUUCGCCAAAGGCUGCUUGUCAACCAAGAGGUGCUGAGAAUGGGCCAGCUGAGGAAGGCCUUCAUUGAACUGGUGAAAGCAAAUGAAGGUCUUGAUGUUUCAAACUACAG